RNAcentral lists this ribosomal RNA (494 nucleotides) under uncultured bacterium. Its description in RNAcentral is "partial 16S ribosomal RNA". It matches the Rfam family "Bacterial small subunit ribosomal RNA", at positions 28 to 507 of the family's 1533-position model. The record is from RNAcentral.
GACGAACGCUGGCGACGCGCUUAACACAUGCAAGUCGAACGGAAAGGCCUGCUUUCCCUUGUGGAUUGCGGGUACUCGAGUGGCGAACGGGUGAGUAACACGUGAGUGAUCUGCCCCCAACUUGGGUAUAAGCCUGGGAAACUGGGUCUAAUUCCCGAUAGGACUGCAGGGUGGUGCCUGUGGUGGAAAACGAUUUUCUAGUGGUUGGGGAUGAGCUCGCGGCCUAUCAGCUUGUUGGUGGGGUAAUGGCCUACCAAGGCGGCGACGGGUAGCCGGCCUGAGAGGGUGGACGGCCACAUUGGGACUGAGAUACGGCCCAGACUCCUACGGGAGGCAGCAAUGGGGAAUAUUGCACAAUGGGCGGAAGCCUGAUGCAGCGACGCCGCGUGGGGGAUGACGGCCUUCGGGUUGUAAACUCCUUUCGACCGCGAGGAAGCCACCUGGUUGGAAGGGUGGUGACGGUAGUGGUAGAAGAAGCACCGGCUAACUACGUG